RNAcentral lists this ribosomal RNA (429 nucleotides) under Chloroflexota bacterium. RNAcentral's name for it is "Chloroflexi bacterium partial 16S ribosomal RNA". It matches the Rfam family "Bacterial small subunit ribosomal RNA", at positions 355 to 776 of the family's 1533-position model. The record is from RNAcentral. Lineage: Bacteria; Bacillati; Chloroflexota.
UGGGGAAUAUUGCACAAUGGGCGCAAGCCUGAUGCAGCCAUGCCGCGUGUGUGAAGAAGGCCUUCGGGUUGUAAAGCACUUUCAGCGGGGAGGAAGGCGUUAAGUUUAAUAACCUCAUCGAUUGACGUUACCCGCAGAAGAAGCACCGGCUAACUCCGUGCCAGCAGCCGCGGUAAUACGGAGGGUGCAAGCGUUAAUCGGAAUUACUGGGCGUAAAGCGCACGCAGGCGGUCUGUCAAGUCGGAUGUGAAAUCCCCGGGCUCAACCUGGGAACUGCAUUCGAAACUGGCAGGCUAGAGUCUUGUAGAGGGGGGUAGAAUUCCAGGUGUAGCGGUGAAAUGCGUAGAGAUCUGGAGGAAUACCGGUGGCGAAGGCGGCCCCCUGGACAAAGACUGACGCUCAGGUGCGAAAGCGUGGGGAGCAAACAGG